UCGAGGAUCUUCGUCAAUGGGCGAAAGCCUGAACGAGCGAUGCCGCGUGUGCGAUGAAGGCCUUCGGGUUGUAAAGCACGAAAGUGAAAAGAAAGGGAAACUUGAUCGAUUCACAGUAAGCUCGGGCUAAGUUCGUGCCAGCAGCCGCGGUAAGACGAACCGAGCGAACGUUGUUCGGAAUCACUGGGCUUAAAGGGCGCGUAGGCGGGUGCUCAAGUCUGUGGUGAAAUCCUCCAGCUUAACUGGAGAA
RNAcentral lists this ribosomal RNA (250 nucleotides) under uncultured bacterium. RNAcentral describes it as "partial 16S ribosomal RNA". It matches the Rfam family "Bacterial small subunit ribosomal RNA", at positions 355 to 620 of the family's 1533-position model. The record is from RNAcentral.